RNAcentral lists this ribosomal RNA (208 nucleotides) under uncultured Chlorobaculum sp. Its description in RNAcentral is "partial 16S ribosomal RNA". It matches the Rfam family "Bacterial small subunit ribosomal RNA", at positions 568 to 775 of the family's 1533-position model. Lineage: Bacteria; Pseudomonadati; Chlorobiota; Chlorobiia; Chlorobiales; Chlorobiaceae. The record is from RNAcentral.
UGCGCAGGCGGAUCAAUAAGUCGGGGGUUAAAUCCAUGUGCUUAACACAUGCACGGCUUCCGAUACUGUUGAUCUAGAGUCUCGAAGAGGAAGGUGGAAUUUCCGGUGUAACGGUGGAAUGUGUAGAUAUCGGAAAGAACACCAGUGGCGAAGGCAGCCUUCUGGUCGAGUACUGACGCUCAUGCACGAAAGCGUGGGGAGCAAACAG